AUGUCUCUGUUUAAGUUUGAGUGUGCAUGUGUGUGGGAGAGAAAGAGAGAGGGUUGGUUUGCAGGCCUAUAAGUUUGCAUUGGUUCAUCAGAGGCAAAGCAGAAACACCACAUACCCUGAAUUCGUCAUUCACUGUGAAGACAUGCAAGAAAAACUAAAUUUUCUUCAAGAAUUCAAAGCAACACACGCCUCCAGAUCUACGCUUUAACACUGAGUUUAUGUAAGUCUGGCCACUGGGGACUUGGACCUCACAUUCUUCUGGAUCGCUCUUGUAGGAAGAACGCUCUCCCUCUGUGGGAGAUAAAGCAGCCAGCCAAGUCAAACUGGUCCCAGGAUGGAACUGAACAACAGCACCAAAACCCGCCCAAAACCACCCACCUCGAGACUGCUGACAGAAAAGAACAGAACAGAAGAGACUUAGAGUUUUGAUGUUAUCAGCCUCUGUAGAGAUGUGCCACAUGCCAUCAUAGUUUUUGUUUUUGUGCCUCAAAGGACAUUUACAAGAAAAGGAAAACAGUUGACCUGAGUCUGUACAAAGUUGAAUAAACUCCACCUACCAGCACUGAC
Molecule: long non-coding RNA, 567 nt
Organism: Centropristis striata (black sea bass)
Lineage: Eukaryota; Metazoa; Chordata; Actinopteri; Perciformes; Serranidae
Exons: 3
Source: RefSeq, a predicted model, not a curated record